CCUACGGGAGGCUGCAGUGGGGAAUUUUGGACAAUGGGCGCAAGCCUGAUCCAGCCAUGCCGCGUGAGUGAAGAAGGCCUUCGGGUUGUAAAGCUCUUUCGGUGGGGAAGAAAUCGCAUCUCCUAAUAUGGGGUGUGGAUGACGGUACCCGCAUAAGAAGCACCGGCUAACUACGUGCCAGCAGCCGCGGUAAUACGUAGGGUGCGAGCGUUAAUCGGAAUUACUGGGCGUAAAGCGUGCGCAGGCGGUUGUAUAAGUCAGAUGUGAAAUCCCCGGGCUCAACCUGGGAACUGCAUUUGAGACUGUACGGCUAGAGUGUGGCAGAGGGGGGUAGAAUUCCACGUGUAGCAGUGAAAUGCGUAGAGAUGUGGAGGAAUACCGAUGGCGAAGGCAGCCCCCUGGGCCAAUACUGACGCUCAUGCACGAAAGCGUGGGGAGCAAACAGGAUUAGAUACCCUUGUAGUCCAC
RNAcentral lists this ribosomal RNA (468 nucleotides) under uncultured Propionivibrio sp. RNAcentral's name for it is "bacterial SSU rRNA". It matches the Rfam family "Bacterial small subunit ribosomal RNA", at positions 338 to 798 of the family's 1533-position model. Lineage: Bacteria; Pseudomonadati; Pseudomonadota; Betaproteobacteria; Rhodocyclales; Rhodocyclaceae. The record is from RNAcentral.